Molecule: ribosomal RNA, 253 nt
Filed under: uncultured bacterium
Lineage: Bacteria
Description: partial 16S ribosomal RNA
Rfam family: Bacterial small subunit ribosomal RNA
Source: RNAcentral
CACGUAGGGCGUGAGCGUUGUCCGGAAUUAUUGGGCGUAAAGAGCUCGUAGGCGGCCUGUUGCGUCCGCUGUGAAAGCCCGGGGCUUAACCCCGGGUCGGCAGUGGAUACGGGCAGGCUAGAGGUAGGUAGGGGAGAAUGGAAUUCCCGGUGUAGCGGUGAAAUGCGCAGAUAUCGGGAGGAACACCGGUGGCGAAGGCGGUUCUCUGGGCCUUACCUGACGCUGAGGAGCGAAAGCGUGGGGAGCGAACAGG